GACCAUGAUGAGUAACCAUGCUAAUACUGAUGCAACAGUCACAUUCCUCUGGUAUGUGUUCUGGGGGCAAAUGAGUUAAACCACUUUCUCGUUUUGAACUCUGAGGUCA
RNAcentral lists this small nucleolar RNA (109 nucleotides) under Leptobrachium leishanense (Leishan spiny toad). Lineage: Eukaryota; Metazoa; Chordata; Amphibia; Anura; Megophryidae. The record is from RNAcentral.